CUACGGAGGAUGCGAGCGUUAUCCGGAUUUAUUGGGUUUAAAGGGAGCGUAGGUGGGAUAUUAAGUCAGCUGUGAAAGUUUGGGGCUCAACCUUAAAAUUGCAGUUGAUACUGGUUUCCUUGAGUACGGUACAGGUGGGCGGAAUUCGUGGUGUAGCGGUGAAAUGCUUAGAUAUCACGAAGAACUCCGAUCGCGAAGGCAGCUCACCGGGCCGGAACUGACACUGAUGCUCGAAAGUGCGGGUAUCAAACAGGAUUAGAUACCCUGGUAGUCCGCACAGUAAACGAUGAAUACUCGCUGUUUGCGAUACACGGUAAGCGGCCAAGCGAAAGCGUUAAGUAUUCCACCUGGGGAGUACGCCGGCAACGGUGAAACUCAAAGGAAUUGACGGGG
Molecule: ribosomal RNA, 393 nt
Filed under: uncultured bacterium
Lineage: Bacteria
Description: partial 16S ribosomal RNA
Rfam family: Bacterial small subunit ribosomal RNA
Source: RNAcentral